Molecule: ribosomal RNA, 538 nt
Filed under: uncultured bacterium
Lineage: Bacteria
Description: partial 16S ribosomal RNA
Rfam family: Bacterial small subunit ribosomal RNA
Source: RNAcentral
UGGGGAAUAUUGGACAAUGGGCGGAAGCCUGAUCCAGCAACGCCGCGUGAGGGAUGACGGCCUUCGGGUUGUAAACCUCUUUCAGUACCGACGAAGCGAAAGUGACGGUAGGUACAGAAGAAGGACCGGCCAACUACGUGCCAGCAGCCGCGGUAAUACGUAGGGUCCGAGCGUUGUCCGGAAUUAUUGGGCGUAAAGGGCUCGUAGGCGGUUUGUCGCGUCGGGAGUGAAAACAGCGGGCUUAACUCGUUGCUUGCUUUCGAUACGGGCAGACUAGAGGUAUGCAGGGGAGAAUGGAAUUCCUGGUGUAGCGGUGAAAUGCGCAGAUAUCAGGAGGAACACCGGUGGCGAAGGCGGUUCUCUGGGCAUUACCUGACGCUGAGGAGCGAAAGUGUGGGGAGCGAACAGGAUUAGAUACCCUGGUAGUCCACACCGUAAACGUUGGGCGCUAGGUGUGGGGUCCUUUCCACGGAUUCCGUGCCGUAGCUAACGCAUUAAGCGCCCCGCCUGGGGAGUACGGCCGCAAGGCUAAAAACUC